This 537-nucleotide long non-coding RNA is filed under the name Mytilus galloprovincialis (Mediterranean mussel). Lineage: Eukaryota; Metazoa; Mollusca; Bivalvia; Mytilida; Mytilidae. The record is from RNAcentral.
AUCUCUCAAAGUGAGGGAGAAAAUGCAAAAACAAGCAAAAGUAACAAUUGAGAAUUUGACCUUGACCUUUGACCUUGACCUCAUUUUCUAAGUUAAGACCUAGGGGACUCAAAUAAAAACAUUCUAGGGUUAUACGGUUAACUGUUUAUGAGUUAAAUAAACAUACUGACAAAUUUAUUUUGAAAAGGUAGAUAACUCCUAUAAAAUUUCAUCGAAUCGCUUUGAUCAAAAUACGCCAAAAAUUUCUGAGGAUGUAACGAACAAUGUGUAAAAGAAAUUUUGUCGAUAUCAUUUUUUGUUACGGAGGAGAUGCACUCUGAUUAUAAACAGUGAAUAGGGAGAUAACUCUUACAAAGAAUACGGUUUGGCAUAGCAGGGUGAAAUUUAAAAGCGCAUAAACUAUACGAUACAAUAUGAGAAAUAUCUAAGCGACAUAUUGCGAAACAAACAUUUAUCGCAAGAACAAAAGUUGGCGGAAAAAAAAAAAAAUAAUGAUUAAAAACCAAUUGUUCAGAGAACAAUUGAAGGUCUUUCCAC